AGGACGAACGCUGGCGGCGUGCUUAACACAUGCAAGUCGAACGGUAAGGCCUUUCGGGGUACACGAGUGGCGAACGGGUGAGUAACACGUGGGUGAUCUGCCCUGCACUUUGGGAUAAGCCUGGGAAACUGGGUCUAAUACCGAAUAUGACCAUUGGUUGCAUGACUGGUGGUGGAAAGCUUUUGCGGUGUGGGAUGGGCCCGCGGCCUAUCAGCUUGUUGGUGGGGUUAAGGCCUACCAAGGCGACGACGGGUAGCCGGCCUGAGAGGGUGUCCGGCCACACUGGGACUGAGAUACGGCCCAGACUCCUACGGGAGGCAGCAGUGGGGAAUAUUGCACAAUGGGCGCAAGCCUGAUGCAGCGACGCCGCGUGAGGGACGACGGCCUUCGGGUUGUAAACCUCUUUCAGUAGGGACGAAGCGCAAGUGACGGUACCUACAGAAGAAGGACCGUCCAACUACGCGCCAGCAGCCGC
This 475-nucleotide ribosomal RNA is filed under the name uncultured bacterium. RNAcentral's name for it is "SSU rRNA". It matches the Rfam family "Bacterial small subunit ribosomal RNA", at positions 26 to 518 of the family's 1533-position model. The record is from RNAcentral.